Molecule: ribosomal RNA, 381 nt
Filed under: uncultured marine Chaetocerotaceae
Lineage: Eukaryota; Bacillariophyta; Thalassiosirophyceae; Chaetocerotales; Chaetocerotaceae
Description: SSU rRNA
Rfam family: Eukaryotic small subunit ribosomal RNA
Source: RNAcentral
AGCUCCAAUAGCGUAUAUUAAAGUUGCUGCAGUUAAAAAGCUCGUAGUUGCAUUUCCGAGGCAAGGGAUUAGUCCGACCUUUGGUGGGUAUUUAAUCCUCUUGCCUCGUCCUUGAGUGGUGCUUCUUGGUAUUAAGUUAUCGAGGAGAUAGCCGCUCAUCGUUUACUGUGAGAAAAUUAGAGUGUUCAAAGCAGGCUUAUGCCGUUGAAUAUAUUAGCAUGGAAUAAUAAGAUAGGACCUCGGUACUAUUUUGUUGGUUUGAGAACCAAGGUAAUGAUGAAUAGGGACAGUUGGGGGUAUUCGUAUUCAGUUGUCAGAGGUGAAAUUCUUAGAUUUACGGAAGACGAACUAAUGCGAAAGCAUCUACCAAGGAUGUUUUCA